UGCGCAACUUAAAAAAAAAAACAACCAAAAAAAAAAAUAACACACAUCCAGGGUUCUGUAUUCAUUAACCCUUUUUGCAUAUCCAAAGACAAUUUAAGCAACUGCUUGACUUAGCUGGUUCAAUGGACAAACAGAUUUACCGACUGGCAAGGUAACAGUUUGAACGCAGCUAGCUAGUUAAGCUAACAUAUUAGCUGUUAUCUGGCAGAAUGUGUUUGUGACUGCGUUGUUUAGUGCCAGAACCGGAGGUCAAGAUGUGGGGACUAUUUGCUGAGCCAAGAUUUGAGGUUUUGUUGAAGUUUGAAGGCACAUUUCAACUUCUUCAACAAAAGCUAUGAACCAGGUGGGCCUUAUAUUGAUUUGAAGAGAACAUCAAUACAACUUGCCCCGUCUGAGUGAAAACAACACUCUGGGCAGGACUGCUGCCUUCGUUUUUUUUCAAUCUCUCCGCCCUCCGUGGAGAAAUGGGAGCUCUCUCACGUCGGCUGUCCAUCUUCUGGGAAUGCCAUCCUCUGACAUUAAUGGCCUGUUUAAACAGCUCCAGCACAGCGAGACUGGAUUGACUGGAGACAUCAGGCAGCCUCUGGACAUUGCAGUGUCAGCAACAGCAAG
Acanthopagrus latus (yellowfin seabream) is the source of this 612-nucleotide long non-coding RNA. RefSeq lists it as uncharacterized. The transcript is spliced from 4 exons. NCBI's taxonomy places the organism in Eukaryota, Metazoa, Chordata, Actinopteri, Spariformes, Sparidae. The record is from RefSeq and is a predicted model, not a curated record.